Molecule: long non-coding RNA, 41025 nt
Filed under: Selaginella moellendorffii
Lineage: Eukaryota; Viridiplantae; Streptophyta; Lycopodiopsida; Selaginellales; Selaginellaceae
Description: long non-coding RNA (SMOE_LNC001151)
Source: RNAcentral
UUGACCAAAAGCUGAACUUUGGAGUGAUCCUGUGCAUGAGCGGCGGCGUCGUGCGAUCGUUGUCACUGUCCCUGGUCUUGGUGAGAGCUCCGAGAGGGCAUUGUCCGACAACGCGGAGCUCUUCAUGCUCGAGCAAGCCGCAGAAGAGCACAAAGUUGGCAACCACCGCAAGUGGAGAUUGUUCCCGCUGCAGCCCUUGUAGCUCCAAUCUCCGUGUCUACUCUAAAUAACAGACAGCGUCAUCUAUGCUAGAAAAGGAACUUUGGAAAAGCUGACCAGAGUUUCUACUUGCUCGUCCUCCAGGCGCUCAUCGCAAAGACGAUACUCUCCUUCCAUCCGAGCAGCAGCCAGUGCCCAUCCACGCCCAGCUUGAAGUUGUUGUUUAGCUUGCUGCUGCUGCUGCACCACACGUCCUUCACCACCUCGAUCGUUUCCGGUCGAACCGGCAGCAGCUCAAAUCCAGCUCUUCUAGCCCUCGAGUCCCAGCUCCUGUAAGAAUUUGGCCGCUCAAUCCUUUCAACGCCUUCCAGAGCCACCACGUCCAUGAUCGCCUUUGCAAUGAUGUUCCCCAUGAAAUCAUACUCCUCCGGCAUGUCCUCUUGCAGGAGCAGCGUCUCGAACAGCUCCAUCCUCGUGAAAAGCGUAUCGAGCGCCCCCUCGAAACGUUGGAUGAAGAAAGGAGAGCUCAAGUUGGAGGUGGCAUCCAACACGCACUGUAUGAACAGGUCCGGCUUGAGGCUGUAAACUCUUUCGAAGAAGAGCUUCCGCGGAUUAUUCCCGACACUGCCAUCUUCUCGCAAAUGCCGGAGGCGGAGGUUGCAAUUCACGAUGAGCAAGUCCUACGAUGUGAAUUCUCUUCGUGCCCUGGCAAACGUUGAAGAUGUUGCAAGCGGCAUAUCGCUGGGUGACCCUGAAGGAUGGGAGAUUGAGCAGCCGGACGUGGACAGAGUGCCUCUCUCGGAUCCCUUUCACCAUGGCACUGUAUACCUGUGGCCCAAACCCUGCAAUCUACCCAGCAGCCCCAACAUUGAAAUUGUGUGAGAUCUUUAUCCAUUUCUUUCUUCCACUCCAUUUCUCCGCCAUAGCCAAAGCUCGCCUCGUUUGUUCUUCCUUGUCUCAGAUCCCGGCUGACGUGACCCAAGGGACAAAUCCACUGACAACUUCGAUUGGAGACGCGGAUGCGGUGAUUUGCGCUACUGGAUUUCGCUACUCUCUCGAUGUCCUGGCUCCCUGGAAGGUAGAUUGUUUCAGGAUCUCGACUGGAUCAAUCAUACAUUCUUUCUCCUCAGGUGGACUAUCGAGGAACCCUAAACCUCGUGGAAGCGUGCCGCAAGAAUGGGAUCAAGAGAUUCGUGCUCAUAAGCUCCAUUCUCGUGAAUGGCGCCGCGUGGGGGCAGGCGCUCAAUCCAGCCUAUCUGGUGCUCAAUGCGUUUGGUCUCACGCUCAUCGCCAAGCUCCAGGCCGAGAACUAUGUGAGAAGCUCUGGGAUCAACUACACGAUCAUCCGGCCUGGGGGCCUCUCGGAGGAGAAACCGGAUGGAAACAAGAAGAUCGUCAUGGCAAAGCAGGCAAGGCAUUGUUCUCCUCUGAUUCUUUGAGAAAAUUGACGAUUUGAUCGCAGGAUACGCUCUCGUCCGGAUCGAUUUCGCGAGAUCUUGUCGCUGACGUUGCCGUGGAGUCGAUCGAUUGCGACGAUGCGAGCUUCAAAGUAGUGGAAAUCGUGGCGGAGCCUGGCGCCCAAAAACAGAGCAUCGCAGAGCUCUUUGCCCUAAUUUCAUAAUCCUGGUGGGCCGAAGAAAUCUAGGGCGCGGCAUUUUGAUAUUGUCUCUAUCCCCAGCGAUGAGCGCCGACCUCGUCUCCAAGCUGCGCGCCGUGCUCCUCCACCACCAGGUUCGUCUCGAUCCAGUGCCGCAGCGCCAGCACGUCGAGGAUCCCAACGAUCCCACGCUCGCUUACAUUUCCCGGAUGCUUCUGGACGAGGAGGAGGAGGAGGAGGAGGAGCCGCCGCAGAUGAUCCAGCUCCAGGAUGCCUACAAGAAUCUCAUCGCGGAGCUCGCCGCUCUGGUGUCUUCGCCCGGCGGCAGUGGGAAUCUCAUCCAUCCAGACGAUUCUGGAAAUAUUUCGGUGCCAGACGUCCACGAAUCCAGGACGGGGUUCCUGAAAUCGAUGCUCCUGGAAGCGGCUCGAGCGGUGGCGGGGAAUCGUGGCUCCGAGGUGUACAGGAUCAUCAGCGAGGUGAGGAGCCUGGCAUCGCCAGAGGGCAGCAGUGAAGAACGCACGGCCUUGUUCUUCGCGGAUGCCUUGAUUGCGCGCUUCACAGGGUUUGGGUCUCAGGUCUACAGCGCCAUGGUGAAAGGGAUUCGCGAGAGGCACUCGGUCCACGUCCGGCUGCUCAAUCUCCCAUCCUUCAGGGUCACCCAGCGAUUUGCCAACGGCACCAUUCUAGACUUUUGCCAAGGAGCUACGAGAAUUCACAUCAUCGACUAUGGGAUCCACUAUGGCUGCCAGUGGCCCCAGCUCAUCCAGAGGCUCUCGCAGCGGCCAGAGGGACCGCCGGCGAUGAAGAUCACAGGGAUCGACUUUCCUCGCGUGGACGUCAAGGAGACAGAGAGAAACCUCGUGGAGUAUGCCAAGAGCUGUGGAAUCUCGCUCGAGUUUGAGGUGAUCACGAGCACGUCCUGGGAAUUGGUCCAGCCCAAGACUCACGUGAAUGACUUGCUCAUCGUCAACUGCAACCUCCGCCUCCGGCAUUUGCGAGAAGAUGGCAGCGUCGGCGACAAUCCGCGGAAGCUCUUCUUCGAGAAGGUCUACAGCCUCAAGCCGGACCUGUUCAUACAGUGCGUGUGGGAUGCCGGCUCCAACUUGAGCUCCCCUUUCUUCAUCCAACGUUUCGAGGGGGCUCUCGAGAGUUUCUUCACGAAGAUGGACCUGUUUCAGACUCUGCUGCAAGAGGACAUGCCGGAGGAGUAUGAUUUCAUAGGGAACAUCAUGGCAAAGACGAUCAUGAACAUGGUGGCUAUGGAGGGCGUUGAAAGGUUGGAGCGGCCAAAUUCUUACAGGAGCUGGGAUUCGAGGGCUAGACGAGCUGGAUUUGAGCAGGAACCAGUUAGGCCGACAGCGGUGGAGCUGGUUAAGGCAGCGUGGUGCAGCAGUAAGCCCAAUUGCAACUUCAAGAUGGGGAUGGAUGGGAACUGGUUGCUACUCGGAUGGAAAGAGAGGGUCCUCUAUGCGAUGAGCACCUGGAGGCCGCAGAACAAGCAAGCGGGCUAAACUGCGGUAAGUUUCUCAUUUGUUCCUUCUUUAAGUUCUUUCUAUUCUAGUGUAUAUUAACGCUGACUAGUGCAGCAUCAGGGAUUCUCUGAUGAAGAGUGAUCUAAAAUCCCUGAAAGAGUGGAGCUCGGCUCGGUGGAAGAAGACCGAGUCCAGUCCAGAUUCUCUCGAAAUGCAAACGGGAAUAUGUAAAAAUGAUUGGUCAGGUUAGUAAAUCUCAGUGUCAAACGCCUUUGAAGGAAAGGUACUGCUUGAUAGUGAACCCUGUCCAAAGAGUAUUCACUUUUUUCUAGUGCCAUACGAAGAGAAACGCAGUCAGACAGUGAAGUAUGAAAGUGAAAAAUAGUUCUAAGAAAUAAUUGCAUUUGGCUCACUCAUUCCUUGUCAAUCAGUAAAUCUUCUAUCUGUCAUUAUCACACCAGAAGGGGCCCCUACAUAAUUAGAUUCAUGGCCUUGUCAGUAGAGCAGGAGUGUCUAUCCAAGAAUGGAGGGAGGUUUCUCAAUUGGUGUUUAACGGGAGGCUUAACGGGAGGCGGCAAAUUGAGAAACCUCCCUCCAUUCUUGGAUAGACACUCCUGCCUUUACAAGUGUCAGGAUCAAUGACCCGAUUUACCAUAGUCACAGAACAGGCAAGUAAUGUUCUUUUUCUUGAGCAAUAGGUUUAGUGAAUUCUCAUCUGGUGUUAAUGAUAAUUCUUGAUUCUUCAUCAGGAGAGGGAUCUAGAUGAGGUAAGGAAUGAUAUUCAACUCACACAACCACAUUGGGAAUGUUAUAUAAGGACUAGGGCUGGAAGGAAGACACUAAUAAAUUACUUGUUUUGUGGCUUCAAGGUUGCCCUUGAAUUUGAGCAACAUCCAAUGUUGUUUGAUGGUUUCUUGUUUUGUCAAGGGUGUUACAUUUAUAUAAGUCUCUAUAUCUUGUUAAUGUUAAUUUUUAACAGAUGUAUUUGGUUUUUUUUUUCUCUAACAAAGCAUUUUACAAUAAAAUCAAAGCCAUUCAAAAGAAUAUACUACAAAUAAAAUCAAAAACUUACAAAGAAUAUCUAUUUUAAUAUAUUUUAUAAUUCUCUUAAUCUAUUUUUUUUUUUAAAAAAAAAUCUUUUGGACAUGAUUUCAGGUAAAAAUAUUUAUGUGAAAUUUAUAUAUUUAGAUCUCAAAGCAUUAGUAUAAUAUAUCAACAUGAUUUUAUUUAUAAGUUCUUCAAUUUUAAAUGUUGUUGAAGAUGUUGUUUGUCCAUCAUAUGCAUUUCCUCCUAGAAUUGUAAAAUAUAAUUAUUAAUUUAUAAGUCAUAAUAGUGAUUUUAUAAAAGAUUUUAUUUGUAUGGAUGACAAUAUGGAAAUACCAAUAAUGAAUUGUAAGAUAUGAUAACUCAAUUACUUGAUGAUAGUAUCCAAUAAUCACAUACACUAUGAAGGACAUACUUAUGGGUACCCAAUAUAUACAAUUUCAAUUAAAACAAUAUCUUAUUUAAGGGUAUAUUAUAUUUAAAAAAUUAUUAAUCAAUAAAAAUUAAAAUCAUGUCAUUUAUUUUGAUAUUAUAUGUAACGCACCCUAUCUCUUUCCCCUGAAUCCAACUGGAAAAGGGGUAAUUGUUUAAUGAAAAAACCCUUAAUAACUAUUUAUCCUCAUUUAUCCUUUGAGGUUUCAAAUAUUCACAAUGACAGUAUAUUUAAAUAUUAUCUUAUGAUCACAUAUGUUACAAAAUAAAAACCUAAAUUACCAAGAAAAUAAUAUUUAAUAUCAUAAAAACAUUAUAUAAGGCCUAAAGGCAUAAAUUCAUAAAUAAUAAUAGAUAAUAGGUAUUAUUUAAAGUUAAAAAUUAUUUAAAGGUAAAACCAGAGGAAGCUAUCCAAAGUGGAUAAUGCCAAAAGGAUUUUAAUACAAAUAUAUGGGGCUUAUGAAUAAUAAUCAUGAUGUGUUGAAUUAUAAAUUGAGUAUAUCUAAAUUGAAAACCUACUUUUUAAGUGAUUGAGUAAAUUUAUCCUUAGGACACUUGUUAAGACAUGGAAGGUCAACACUAUAAGCCUAUUUCAUUAAAAAUAUUGUCAAAUAUUUUGGAACUUUAAACAAUUUAUAUUCCAAUUGUGAGGCACUAUAUGUUUAUAUUUAUCUUUAUUUAAUUUUUUUUCUUCUCAUUUGACUUUUUUUGUUCUUGUUUCACUUCAUUUAAAUUAUUUUUUUCUGUUUGAAUUCAUUUGGGGGUCAAAGCAUGAAAGGGUGGGCCAAAAAAUAGACAUUUUUUAGUAGUUUACAGUGAAUCUAAAUUUUAAUUUUUUAUUAGAUCCUUUAUAAUUUUUAAAAUCUAAAUAAAUUUGGAAUGUAAUGUUGCAUAUAUCUACUUCAAAAAAAAUUAAAAAUCAUUUUUUAAAAUUUAGGUUUUGGCUGAACAUCCUAAAAAGUCUUUUUUAUGUUCUCACCCUUGACUUAGUUUUAAAACUUGGAGCUGAUUUAUGAAUUGCACACUAUAGAUGAUUAUUGACCAUUUUUCAAAUACACAUGAAUGCAUAGAGGGUCUUCCAUUCAUGUAUGAUCAUGUGGUGAGUCAAAUAGAUAGUGUUGACAAGCCAUUAGGAAUCAACAUUGAUGUGGUUUUUGAAAGUAUAGCUACUUAGCUAUGUAGUGCAUAUGAUAUUAAAGGCUACUCAGUGAUUCCAAAAAGUAAAGUGGUUGAAAUAACUUUGAUUGCUUGUGAAGUGGAAGAAUUGAAUGGGAGAUCAAAGAAGAUUUUGAAUUAAAUGUAAAUCCUCCUCAAUUAACUCCUCUUAAGCAAGAGCUUGUUAGAGAAGAUGCAUAAAGCAUUUGGGCUAUUUAAUUUCUCUUGUGAUUUUCUUAACUUUGAUACAAAAUUAUCACCACAUUUUGAGUACAUGGUAUAUGAUGCAAGCCAACAACCACCACCUCAUAACUCUAUGCCAUGUAUGAUAUGAUGAUAUGAAUACCAUACUAAUAAAUCUUGGGUCAUGCUUCUUAUACACCAAUACUCCAAAUAACUAAGGAUCUAAUAAACUAGAGGAUUUAUAAAAAAUUAAGGGAAAAUUACAAUUUUUUACCUGAAAGAUUGAAAAUGUAUAGGAAUUUUUGUAAUUUAAAACUUUCAAAUAUAUCUACAAAAUGUGGUCUGCACUUUUCAAAUAGAAUAAUGUUGAAAGUCAUCAAUUUUUCUUUCUUGCACCUUAAAUCUCAUUUAAUUUGGACCCAUGUUAUUUCAUGAAGAAAUCUAGAGCCCCAAAGCAGAGUCAGAUCUUUCGUUGAUGGAAGAAAUCGUUCGCUGACAUAUCCAGGAACCUUGGGCAUUGCAGCACCGAAGCACUGGGAACAUGCUAGGGUUGAAGAAUUCAGUGGAUCUAAAAUGCGCUCACUAAACCAUUGCCGAAUCGUGCAGAAGAACUCAUGUGAAGAGUUGUCCAAAUCAUUGGGGGAUGGACUUAAGCUGUGAUACCUUCACCAGAGGAAGCUUUCUGAGAUCGGAGAUCGAUUUUGUUUGGCAUUUCAAUGAUCUUAGAGUGUAUUUCGGUAUUAAGAACCCAGACGCAUAGCAUUUUAUUCCACCACAUAAUAUUUGAAAGGAACACCAGUGUGACCACUGGCAAUGGAGCUUGCUACGCUUCACUUUCGGGGGCUUAAACUAGUGCCACCACUUUGAGUACAAGGUCUCCCAGCGCACCGGAAGUAGAAAAGGACGGAAGCUGCACAACACAAUUCUUGCACUCAUCGCUGACAGACAGCUUAUUACUGCCAGUGUAUGGACAAUCAAAGUGUAUAGUGGCAACUUUGAAGCCCUUCGUAUAGAUGUCAAAUCCACCUGUAGUCCCAGAUGGAGAACCUUGCCUUCCACAUGCAGCAAAUGCCGGGUUGGGAGAGGUUGCUCCAGCAGCAAUGGUUAUCCCACCUGGUGCACUGCCAUCAUUGUUCUUAUUUGGGUACUUAUACCACUUUCCAUAUGAUAAGAAGGAGUUUUUCACUUCUAAGGUGUCUCGUCCCAGGUUUGUGAUCUUGAAGGAUACCCACUGAGGAUAUCCUCCCAACUUUCCAUCUGCAUUACACAUGUAUUUGUAAGCCCAGCAAUUAAACUUGAGUUACGAACCGGUGACUUGAAAGAUAGAAACCGAGUCCUCUUCUCCAGCCGAAGCAGCAGAAGCUAAGCUCCCAAUGGAUAUGCAAAGCAAUGCUAGAAGGAAAGAAGAACUCGACAUGAUUUCUUGCAAAUUUGGAUUUGGGCUUGCAAAUUUAUACUCCCUAAAUAUCACUUUUUAAACGUUCAACAAUGGUUAUGGAAUCUAAAACAAAGCACAAAGUUCUAAAACUUGAACCAUUUUUAAACAGGUUAGUGUCCUCAAAAGGUUUAGACUAAGGAACAAUAUGUGGCAUAAUUGUCAGUCCCACGUGAAAGAUUGCGACGUAUAACGACGUUUAGCUUUCCAACACUAGAGUAUAAUUAUCAUAGAAGAAAAUUGAAACGAUAGAUCGUCACCUAUUUCAGCUGAAUUCUUCCGUGAAAUGGUCGUUGUUUAAGAAAUGCAGUACCAACGGGAGCAAGAGUUCACGGCGAGAUCCUCCAAUUUUGCAGCAAAAUCAGGAAUCUGUUGCGUGCAAAAGAGAUUUACGAAUUCGGGGGGAGUGACGAUUGUGCAGCAAGCAGCUGCACAAUCCAUCCAUGAAUUUGGAUGGAUCCAUGCACAUCCAUGAAAUUGGAAAUCCAGAUGUUUGGAAGACGUGGGAGCUUGCAAGAAGCAAGAGAGAGAUCGCAUGGGAUCUGCAAGGAAUCGUUUCUUGUGGAACAACAUGAUUGCUGCGCAGGAUAUGCCAAAACGGCAAUCGGGAGUGAAGGAAUUGCUAUGGGAGACAAGAACAUUGUAGCCUGGAACACAAUGCUCCAGGCAUACAAUCAGGUCAAAGAUAUUGAAAAGGAAAGAUAAUUUGAUGCAAUGCCGGAUAAGUUUAGUGGACUACGAUUCUUACAGCAUAUGCCCGGUGUGGGUAUUUGAUAAAAGCGAAGCUAAUCUGUGAUUCGAUGACACUUUUUCCUGGAAUUCAACGAGGCCUUUUCUAACGAAGUCCCGAGCACGCCUCAUGACGUGGAAUUGGCUAUCUUUUAAAUGCCAAAGCCGAGAGAGUUGUUUCGUCCAUCGUUAGAGCAUAUGCCCGGAGCGGGCAUACGACCAGAGCCAAGCGGAUGUUCGCUGCCUUCUUGGGAAGAAAGAUCUCAUCGCCUGGAACACGCUGAACACGGCCUUGUCGCAUUGCCAGGAUCACGGCAGAGACACCAUCAACGUGGCGUUUGAUCCCGAGCAUUCGGCGUUUGUGAGCGUUCUUGGUACUUGCGGCCAGCUUGGGCUGUUCUAGUGGGGAUGGAGCUACUUUCGAAACAUGCCCAAUGAUCACCGCCAUGUGGAUCUCUGCACUUGAUCUGGUCAACUAGCUGCCGAGGAUCUCAUAUCCAGCACGUCCCGGAUGGAGCCUGGCAGCAGGAGUCAAGAGGAUCCACAAUGAGCAGAUGUGAUUCAUUGUUUUGUGAUUCCAAUGCGUGAUAGGAGAUAGUCAAAACGGGAUCCAACGUAUACAUCUCUCUCCAAAAGUAGUAGUGUUUUAUAAUUUUACAAAAACUUACGAGCGAUUUAUUCUUUCCUGGAGUUCAGAAAUCAUCCUCAAUGCUGAUGCUUCUUGGAAAAAUUAAGAUAUAAAUAUCUUUGAAAUGUCCAAGGCAUCUGUUCUUCACUCUUAUUAUCAUCACGAAGGAUUUUGCGCCGCCUGGCACCAGUUGCACUUUGAAAGAGAAAUUUGCCGCAGGAGUGAUUGUUUCCUUCAAGCUGGAAUGAAACCUAAGUUUGCUCAUAAAUCUAGAUGUUUGUAAUAAUGUAUUUAUGGUCUUGGGUGCUUUACAAGUUGACUACAAGAAUUACAAAGUUUGACUCUCAAAUGAUAUGUAAUAAAUUUUCUUUGGUAACACGUGUUUGAAGGCUUAGUGUAAACUUCGUCAUUUUGAUAUUUUUUUAUCUAUACUUGUGAGGGCCAAGUGUAUGGCUACGAUGCCGUAUAUUAAUAUUAGCAUAGUGGGAUUUUGGUAGCCGUCGGAUUGGUUUCAAUCCGGACCACUCGCUCCUAUAUAUAAACUAGGGUUUUUGGGCUAAUUGAUAUGCACAUUUCUGUAUUCCCUUUCCAUAUUCCAGGCACUCACAUUGGUGGAGGUGAGGGGCACCUUUGAUUGUCCCUGAGGAGUACUUGGAUUUGGGAUUUUGGUUUAGAUCUAGCUUUUGCAUCAUCUAGAUCUAGUUUUUUCCAUUUCCUUUCUUUUGUUCUUUCUUUUCAGUAUUUUGGUUUAGAUCUAGCUUUUUGCAUUGUCUAGAUCUACCAUUUCUUUCCAGCUUUUUGUCAUUUCUCUUCUUUUGCUCUUUCUUUUUCGUUCAUCUUCAUGGCCGAUCCGCAAUCUCCUCCUUUGACUCUAGAGCAGCAGCCUCCUGCUCUUGGUGCCAAUCCUCGCGUUCGGCCGGAGUUCUUUCGUGGGAAUCCUAGGGAUGUGUGAGACACAAAAUCCCUAGGCCCCAAAGUGGAGCCGGAAGGGCGCCACAUGGUAGUGGCCGAAGCGAGAGCCAAACGAGCGUAACACGUUUGGACCAAAAGCUCUGACUUGAAAAGUCAAGAGCGGGAGUGGAACUCCCAACGAAGUGCUCGAGGAACGAGCACGAAGCGAGCAAAAGGCGAGGCUCCAAAAAGGGACCCAAAAGGACCAACACAUGACACGUGGGAGUGUCUGAGAUGGACUCGAGUUGGAGUCCGAAGUGGAGUCCGAGGUGGACUCGAGAUGGACCCGAGUUGGAGUCCGAAGUGGAGUCCGAGAUGGACCCGAGAUGGAGUCCGAGAUGGAGUCCGAAGUGGACCCGAGAUGGACCCGAGUUGGAGUCCGAAGUGGAGUCCGAGAUGGACCUGAGAUGGAGUCCGAGAUGGAGUCCGAGGUGGACCCGAGAUGGACCCGAAAUGGAGUCCGAGAUGGAGUCCGAGAUGGAGUCCGAGAUGGACCCGAGAUGGACCCGAGAUGGAGUCCGAGAUGGAGUCCGAGAUGGAGUCCGAAGUCGAGACCGAGACCGGGACCGAGACCGAGACCGAGACCGAGAUCGGGACCGAGACCGAGACCGAGGCCGAGGCCGAGACCGAGCCCAAGCCCGAGUCCGAGUCCGAGUCCGAGUCCGAGUCCGAGUCCGAGUCCGAGUCCGAGUCCGAGUCCGAGUCCGGAGCCUGAGAGGGUGAAAGCCCAAAGCGUUCGUCUCCCAGACCCUGGGGGGUUUGGUGAGCUCCAAAAGUAUAGUAGGGGGAGGACUGCAGUGGAGCCAGUUUGGCCAGGAAAGGCUAGUUUGGCCCAGGAAGGCCAGACCCAGUGUUGGGUGAUGAGCUGCCCACUGGGAAGUCCAAGACUAGAGUGAACACAGACCGACAAGCGGGGUAGCUUGGUGAAGUGUUCAAGAGCCGGCUCUAGUUCCCCCGGGAGAUCGAUUGGCUGAUGCUCCCAGUCCAAGUGUGGGUGGCACUACCUACUUGGAUACCUGGUGUGGCUCAACGGAACCCGCUCUAAGCCCAUGGCUAGAGCACCCAAGGGCAGAAGGCGAGGAGGGUACCCAGGUGGCUCGCGUAAGGCCACGGUGUUCCGAAAUGUUGUCCCAAAGGCCCAGACUGUGGAAAGGAAGAGGAGCAGUCCUCUGGGGUAGUGACCAAGGACACAGUCGUGUGGUGAGGAAGUCCCAGAGGACCGUGGGACUUAGUGGUCGGGCCUGUGGGUCUCGAUCUAGUGGCAGUGUUGGCAAACACGGCCAGGGGCAAAAAGGGACUUAGUGGGGACUGACAGAGGGAUAUUGGGGAAGGCUAUUCCCCUUGUCGGUGGGCAUCCUAAGGAUGCUAAGGAGUGGAUCUGAGAUGACCACUCACGGAUGGUUUGCCUAGUCUUGGAGGGCCAAGACGGUGAUGCAAGUGGUGUUGGACCACCAGUGUGACCAAGGUAAAUGGGCAUGGCCUUAGCGUAACGGGCCGGUACGUCGGUGAUACCUUGGGGUGUCGAUCAUGGGAUCGGACAUGUGGAGCACUUGGACCAAGUGCUAAGGUUGAGUGGCAUAGAUGCCAUUCUCGGGGCUAGCAAGCCCCAAGUCCUGAGUUGGACUUAUGGAAGUUGUCAAUGAGACUCCUCCAAGUGGUCAGACGUGUGGUUAAGUGACUAAAGUAAAAUGGAAAAUUUAGUCGCUUACAAUUUGGUAUCGGAGCUGUUCCUUAGUCCGACUUUUAUUGGUGCUCAAGUAUAUCACCACUAGUGUUGGCAUCGGAAGGUCCGAGGAGUGGGCCUAUCCUUGAGGAGUAGCAAGUUGGAAAGACAUGGCUCUCCAUUACAGUUUAUGUGUGAACUUGUAGACGAGGUGGUGGAUAGAAAAGGGCCAAUAAUGGAACGACUUUGGGAUCUUGGGAACAGUGCAAGGUUUUCCUCAUUGAGUUGAGGAUGUGAUCCGGAUGAGCAUUUGUCUCAGCAAAUUGGCUUAGGUUGUUGUGGUAAACAACUAAAGUUGGGAUCACGGGAAAGAUAGAGACUCCAAAAAAAUAAAGGAGUCACAAGAUUAUCCUCAUAUAGUUGAGGUUGGUGCUCAUGAAUGUGAGACCAAAGGUAAUGACCGUGGAAGGUCAAAUACGGAAGAAGACUCAAGUCCUUGAAAUGGUAGCCGGGGCUACCUCUAAUAAAUGCUGGAACAACCCAAGGAGUUGGGGGUGUAUUAAGUGGAUGAGUUGGUAUUCUCAUCACAUGGACAAGUAGUCCUAAGGGGCAAAGGUUGCCCCCAGAGAACAAAAUCAAGUGUCGGAGUAACACUUGUGAAAAUAGUCCUUUUGAGUAGGACCGGAAUGCAAGAAGUGUAUUCCAGUGAGCUAAUGCCUCACAAGUAGGACCUUACGGGUCGGUGGAUUAACCAAGUCCAAAACUGCUAGACGACUCAAGUAGAGUCAAGGGAUGGUCCUAAAAGGACUGAUAGAAGCAUUUGGACUGAGGCGCGUUGUACCCCACAAAGGAUGGGGGGGGAUCAUAGGAUCCAAGGAUGAGAACAGAGAGUAUCUCAUCGAUGGCAAAAUGUGCCAUGCUAAAGUUAUGGGAAAGGUGUUCCCAGAAGAAAACAACUUUGACACAAAGUUGUGUGUGACCUCUAUGGUGUAGUGCUAACGGAUGGUUGGCAUGAGAAAGAGCGGUGUUGGUCUUGGCAAAGACUUAAACACGAAGGGGAAGUGUCAUAGAGGUAGGCUCGUGGAGCUGAUGGUGUGGAGACACCAAAUGUGCCAAGGUGUGAUACCUUGAGGCUAUGUUGGUGGGUUCAUGAGAACCCCUUGCCAAAGGAAUCCCAAUGGAAAUGGGAAUGGCAUAGCCUAAGCGGCAGAGCAUGCAGUUGGAGUGCGGUGACCCAGAUAAUGAUGGAGGUGUGCAAGCACCAAGCAAUGGGUUGUAGGACUUGACAACUAUGAGACAACUAAGCAAGAGGUGCAAAAUAACUGGUUAAACGGGUAGAAGGUAGCUACCCAAGACUUCUAGUAUAGGGAAGUCGGAUAUACCCUUACGGGGGAUAAGUUGCUUAUGUUGCGAUAUAGUAAGUCAAUGUCAUAAAAGGAAAUACUCAUUGUCAAGAAAGCCAUCAUUGGGACACCCGAACACUCUAGAACACUAGAAGGUGGUGUUUGAGGUCGCGAGGGCAAUGGAUAAAGCCCAAGGGACUAAGUCCCUAGCGAAUGAUGGAUAGAAGGUGCUAUCCAAAUGUCCAAGGUUGCGGAGACAGGAGAGGACUGUCUACCCAAAUUGGACAAAGCCAAAAAUGGAAUUUUGGCAAGGCUAGUGAUGGGCAUGUAAAGGCCCAUAAGCAACAAUGUAAUCCCAGUGUGUGGGAUUAUAAGCUGAGCAUACCCGGAUUGAGGAACCACUCCCUGGGCUAUUGGGUAGGUUCAUCCCUAAGAAUACUUGCUAAGGCAUGAUAGAAAGUGCAAAGCUAUCCUCCUGGUCUGGAGGAGAAUGACCGAAGGAAAGGUGUGAAGCCAAAGGCAAGUAGUAUUGGGAUGGAACUGAACCAUAGAAAUCAAAGGGCAUAUCCAACAGUGGUUAUGAAAGUUGGGAGUGGAGAAUCAAGAGGGUGCUCGAGGAUGUUAUUGCUAGCAACCGUGAUGCCAUGGAGAGUCUAAAAUAUGGAAUUGUCCAUGUUAGACUAUAUGGCAACUAUAAAGCUUGCGAAAGGGGAGGCCUUAGCAAGCUGAGGGACAGAGUUCCUUCAAGGUUCCCAAAGACGAUUCUAGGUAGAAUAGUACUUAGAAAGGCCAAGUGUAAAUGGUUCAUGGAACGCGCGAAAUCAGAGUGGCGCAGCAGAAGCGUGGUCUUGAAGCUUGCCAUGAGGCAAGGUUAUCAAGGUUAGGGAAGUAGUUCCCGAGUGUUCAAAGAGAGGGCUUUGAACGAAAGUCGAUGGUCAAGGACUUUCACGCUUAUGCAGGAACCAUGUUACAAUGGUCGGAGGACUUGCCAAGUGAGAUUGGCACGUCGGGGGAACAAAGACCCUAGUUGAAGGUGAUAUCUUCAAAAAGGGUGGGCCAGGGGGCCGAGUAUGGAGGAGUCCAUGCAUGAUCACAGACAUGUCAAGUGAAAGGACUUGGCAGUGUGGAGGAACUAGGUUCCUAAGCUGUGAUCUGUAGCGCGCUUUAAAAAUAGGUUGGUGCACCGGCGUGGGGAGUCACGCCAGGCAUCUAGUGUGAUGCCGUCCGUAGAUGCAUAUACGGAGGUUGGGUUCGAGUCCCAAAUCACUAGGGCGUGGUGAUGGUUUGGAAUAUGAGGACACUCAUAUUUCGGUGGUCAUGGACUCUCAGUGGGGAGACUGGUUUGGGCACACCGCCAAGCGAGGGAUGCCUCGGAGUCGUGAUGCACGGUUAGAUUGCUUAGUGUGAAAGCUCAACAUAUCUAACUUGAACACUUUGGUGCAAGUGGCACCAAGGUCGUGGUGAGUGAGAUGGGGACACCUAAUCUCUGUUGCUAUGAACCCUUGGCCAUAAGGGCUAGCUUGGGUGCACCGCCAAGUGUGGGGGAUGCCCCCGGGGUUAUAGUCAACAACUUGGAGGUCUAGAAAACCAAGUACCUCUUGGCAACUCUGUUAAGGUGCCAAGGUGAGAUCACUAGGUGAUCUUAUGGCCAGAUAAGGACAAGGUCCCUGGUUGGCUAAGGAAUGAAGUUCCUGGUUCAAAAUGUUGAAAUUGAACUGUUUAAGGUGGUGUGGCUUGGUCAUGAUAACCAAGUGGGAAGAGCACCUAAGGGAAAUAAACUAUGUCCGUGCGAUGGCAUAGUGAGUCCGAGGAAAGUAGUCUCUAUAAAAGACCCAUGGGAGGGUCACGAAGUUGGGCCGUGGAUAGAGCCCAUAGCAGAAGAUGCUAAAGAGACGUACUAGGGGUGAACAUCCUCCGGACUUGGCAAAGAAGAGUCUUUGCUAUGGAACCGAAACAAUACCUCAAGGAGGGAGGUAGAGAUUCGAUGUUGCUUGGUGCAACAAUCAACGGAUAUGAGCAAAAGAUGAGUGGCCAAGAUAGAGCCGUGGAAUCCCUUGGAAGGAAUCCAAGUGACAAAGUUAGGCGAGGAACACUAAUGUGUUGGACGCUAACAAGUUGCGGGAAAGGAAGUGUGUUUCCAAGGAGGGAUUCCGAAAUGCUCCGAGUUGGUGAAAGUGGAAGCUCCAAGGGAGGGAGCGGUAAGGUAGCCAAAUGAUAGGGCCAUGAACAGCCCUAGCACAAAGUAUGAUAACUGGAACUUUGGCACGAAAUAGAAGAGAGGAUGAUGGUGCCCUCGAGUAGAGAACUUCCUAGGAUGGGAAGUGGAGUUGCACAAAAGGUGCAAGGCAAGGUGUCAGAGACACCUAGGAAAUUGACUCCAAGAAGUCAAAAUUCAAAGUUCCAAAGUGCAAAGGUUAUAUCGAUGGAAAUUGAGACUACUCGAGAAGGAGUAGUGGGAUUGACUUAGAGAAGGGUCUCUAAGAGGUUUAGCGAGAACUAAACCAAUAAAAGGAGAGAACCAUUACAUGUGGUCCAAUCAGUCUCUAAGUUGGAGAGACUACGCUCCUUAAAGGAUGGACAAGGCAUGGUGAGCCUUUGAUGUCAAACCAUAGACAAAGAUUGGCUAGGUGCCAAGGAUGGAAAUGGUAACACGUGUGGGUGUUACUUUAUGAAAGGGUUUACCGUUCGAUGAGGACAUCGAACUUCGUCUAUGGGUGGUGGAGUUGUGAGACACAAAAUCCCUAGGCCCCAAAGUGGAGCCGGAAGGGCACCACAUGGUAGUGGCCGAAGCGAGAGCCAAACGAGCGUAACACGUUUGGACCAAAAGCUCUGACUUGAAAAGUCAAGAGCGGGAGUGGAACUCCCAACGAAGUGCUCGAGGAACGAGCACGAAGCGAGCAAAAGGCGAGGCUCCAAAAAGGGACCCAAAAGGACCAACACAUGACACGUGGGAGUGUCUGAGAUGGACUCGAGUUGGAGUCCGAAGUGGAGUCCGAGGUGGACCCGAGAUGGACCCGAGUUGGAGUCCGAAGUGGAGUCCGAGAUGGACCCGAGAUGGAGUCCGAGAUGGAGUCCGAAGUGGACCCGAGAUGGACCCGAGUUGGAGUCCGAAGUGGAGUCCGAGAUGGACCCGAGAUGGAGUCCGAGAUGGAGUCCGAGAUGGAGUCCGAGGUGGACCCGAGAUGGACCCGAAAUGGAGUCCGAGAUGGAGUCCGAGAUGGAGUCCGAGAUGGACCCGAGAUGGACCCGAGAUGGAGUCCGAGAUGGAGUCUGAGAUGGAGUCCGAGAUGGAGUCCGAAGUCGAGACCGAGACCGGGACCGAGACCGAGACCGAGACCGAGAUCGGGACCGAGACCGAGACCGAGGCCGAGGCCGAGACCGAGCCCAAGCCCGAGUCUGAGUCCGAAUCCGAGUCCGAGUCCGAGUCCGAGUCCGAGUCCGAGUCCGGAGCCUGAGAGGGUGAAAGCCCAAAGCGUUCGUCUCCCAGACCCUGGGGGGUUUGGUGAGCUCCAAAAGUAUAGUAGGGGGAGGACUGCAGUGGAGCCAAUUUGGCCAGGAAAGGCCAGUUUGGCCCAGGAAGGCCAGACCCAGUGUUGGGUGAUGAGCUGCCCACUGGGAAGUCCAAGACUAGAGUGAACACAGACCGACAAGCGGGGUAGCUUGGUGAAGUGUUCAAGAGCCGGCUCUAGUUCCCCCGGGAGAUCGACUGGCCGAUGCUCCCAGUCCAAGUGUGGGUGGCACUACCUACUUGGAUACCUGGUGUGGCUCAACGGAACCCACUCUAAGCCCAUGGCUAGAGCACCCAAGGGCAGAAGGCGAGGAGGGUACCCAGGUGGCUCGCAUAAGGCCACGGUGUUCCGAAAUGUUGUCCCAAAGGCCCAGACUGUGGAAAGGAAGAGGAGCAGUCCUCUGGGGUAGUGACCAAGGACACAGUCGUGUGGUGAGGAAGUCCCAGAGGACCGUGGGACUUAGUGGUCGGGCCUGUGGGUCUCGAUCUAGUGGCAGUGUUGGCAAACACGGCCAGGGGCAAAAAGGGACUUAGUGGGGACUGACAGAGGGAUAUUGGGGAAGGCUAUUCCCCUUGUCGGUGGGCAUCCUAAGGAUGCUAAGGAGUGGAUCUGAGAUGACCACUCACGGAUGGUUUGCCUAGUCUUGGAGGGCCAAGACGGUGAUGCAAGUGGUGUUGGACCACCAGUGUGACCAAGGUAAAUGGGCAUGGCCUUAGCGUAACGGGCCGGUACGUCGGUGAUACCUUGGGGUGUCGAUCAUGGGAUCGGACACGUGGAGCACUUGGACCAAGUGCUAAGGUUGAGUGGCAUGGAUGCCAUUCUCGGGGCUAGCAAGCCCCAAGUCCUGAGUUGGACUUAUGGAAGUUGUCAAUGAGACUCCUCCAAGUGGUCAGACGUGUGGUUAAGUGACUAAAGUAAAAUGGAAAAUUUAGUCGCUUACAGGAUGAUGUGUACCAUUGGUUUGAUCACUUCACGGUGAUUGCCACAUAUCAUUCUUAGGAUGAUGCUCGACAUUUGCGUGAGUUUCCCACGUGUCUCCAAGGGACGGCGUUGCAGUGGUACAAUGGAUUGAGUGCGGCCACUCAUGGGGAUUGGAGUGUUCUUCCGGACGUCUUCAAACGCGCCUUCGAACAUGCUGACGAUUGUGACGAUGCCUUCCAACAAUUGCAUCGUCUUCGCCAAGGGUCCUCUAAAUCGGUGAUGCAAUUUGGCGUUCGUUUCCGAAGUCUUUUGCUUCGUGCGGAGCCUAAUAUGUCGGAGCGGAUCAAGCUAGGAAUGUUGUGGCCAGCACUUCGUCAAGAUCUUGUCGGCCUUGUGCAUGCACUUGCUCCUACCACCCUUGACGAUACUUUUCACUUGGCACAACGUUAUGAGACGUCACCUCUUCCACUUCUUGCUGCAUGUCCUUCAGCUCCACUUCUUAUGAGUGAUGGUCCUGUUCCAAUGAAGGUUGAUGCUGCUGCUACUUGAGUCCAUGGACAAGGGCAUGGACGUGGUCGUGGCCAUGAUAUUCGUUGCUGGGUGUGUGAUGAAGUUGGUCAUACUUAUCAGUGUUGUCGGCACUUUCCGGAUUGGCGACCUCCAUUUCCUGGGUGGAAACCUUGGCGUCAGCAACGUCCUGUUGGUGCUGCUGCGGUGGAAGGUUUGGAUACCGAGGUGCAUCCAGGAAACGAGGAGUUGCACGAGUAAUGGAGGGACCUUACGCAAAUAAGUUAGUGACCCCUCCAUCUUUCUUCAGGAGUAUCAUCAAGGGGUUCACUUGGCACCGGUUCAUCCAGUGUUUACUUUCCAAGCUCGUUUUUAUAACAAGAGGUCUCCUAUUCUUCUCUCCGUAUUGGUUGAUACAGGUUCGAGUUUAUCUUCUAUUGCUCGACCUAUUGCCACACGUUAUCGUCUACACUUGCAUCGUGUGGCGGAUCCAGUUUUCAUUCUUUAUGGCAACGGCCGUACACAUGCAUGUGCACGAGAUGAGGCGGACCUGGUUGUGCGUGUGGGCAAUCUCAAGCUUGAGUUGUAGUCGUUGCGGGUGGUGCCGAGUUAAACUUUUGACCUCAUUCUUGGUAUGGAUUGGUUGCAGUGCAAUCAUGCCAAGUGUGACUUUGAGGCUUCUCCCCCUUGUCUCAUCCUUCCUUAUGUUUCAUCCAUUCCUCUCACUUCCGUACCUCUUCGUCCCUCUACUUUUACCUCUGCUUCCAUGACUUUUGUUCCCCCACUAUUUCCUCUUGUGUUUCCAUCUUGUUCUGCUCUUCCCUUUUCCGAUCCCUCUGAUGAUCUUUGUGUUGCAGCUGUUGACCAGCUCAUGAAGGAGUAUUCUGAUCUCUUUGAAUUUGACCUAUCGUCAGGGGCCAAGAUUGCCACAACCGGGGAUGCUCGUCCAAUCAAGGUUCCUGUUCGUCGUUGGUCACCCAAGGAGAUCAAGAUUUUACGUGCAAACGUCAAGGAGAUGUUGGAGAAGGGUGUUAUUCGGAAGUCGCAGAGUCCUUGGGCAUGUGAACCUCAUCUUGUAACGAAGCCUGAUGGGAGUAUUCGUUUCUGCAUCGACUAUCGUCCGUUAAAUGAACUGACGAUCCCGGAUGUGUACCCUCUUCCUCACACUGCUGAUCUCUUGGAUCGUCUGGGGCGAAGUUGUUGGUUCACCAAGCUAGAUCUUGCUUCUGGGUAUUGGCAAGUACCAAUGGCCGACAAAGAUAUUCCUAAGACUGCUUUUCAUACACCGUUUGGUUUGUACGAGUUCUCGGUGAUGCCGUUUGGUUUGAACAAUGCUCUAGCAACUUUCCAGCGGAUGAUGGACAAGGUUCUUUGUGAUAUACCAGAGGUGACUGCUGACUUCAUUGAUGAUGUCUUGAUUCACUCGGAGGGGACGUGGGCAGAGCACGUUCGUGAUGUGUGUAAAGUGUUGGAUCGGCUACGGGAUGUUGGUUUAAAGCUGAAGCGGUCGAAGUGCGUGUUUGGGUCCAAGGACACAACUUAUCUUGGGUACCGUAUUUCUCGUGAGGGUUUGCAAGUUGAUCCUGACAAACUCGUAGCCGUUCUAAAGUUCCCUACUCCGAAGUGUGUGAAUGAUGUGCAACGCUUCCUGGGAAAGGUGCAAUAUCUCGGUCGUUUUGUGGAUCAUCUUUCUGAUCGCACUGCACCGUUGCGAACGUUGUUGAAGUCAUCAACGUCAUCUUUCAUCUGGUCUUCAAAUUGUGAGCGGGCGUUUGUGGAUCUCAAAGUGCUGUUGACGACUCCUCCAGUUUUGGCAUAUCCUGACUACACUCGACCUUUUAUUUUGCGCGUUGAUGCUUCUAAUAUUGGUCUUGGAGGUGUGUUAAUGCAAAAGAGCCCGAGUGUGCCUGGUCAGCAUCAUCCCAUUGCAUAUAUAAGCUGUACGUUACAACCAGCAGAGGUGAACUACUCUUCGACAGAGAAGGAGUGUUUAGCGGCAGUUUGGGGUUUCAAGAAACUUCAUGCAUAUCUACAUGGUUCUCGGACAUUACUUGAAGGUGACCAUACUGCCGUUAUUUCAUUAUUGAAGCGGAAGAACCUGGUCGGUCGUACUGCUUGGUGGGCUUUAAAGCUUCAGAUAUAUGAUUUUGAUGUUGUUCAUCGCCCAGGGAGUUCUAUGGCUGAUGCUGAUGCCCUUUCUUGAAGUCCUCUUCCUUCUCCACUUUCUUCUCAUAUUUCUGAUGAGCCUGUUGUUCCAACAUCUGUGGAUUUUCUAGACGAGGAUUCAGUGCCGUCGGUGGUUGUUGUACUUGAUGUUCAGUGUCCACAAGGCGCAGAGCAAGAUCUACCUUCUCUUGAUGAGGUCCGUGAGGCUCAAAAGAUUGAGCCGUGGAUUCGAAGGCUUCAUGAUGCGUUUGAGGAUCCUGCAUCACUUGUGGAUGACUUGCCUUUCCGGCAUUUACAUUCUCAAUAUCGCCUUGAAGAUGGCCUUCUGGGGACGGAUCCUGAUGAUCAUUUACUGCCUUCUAUCUUUAUUCCAUGGUUUCUCCAUGCUUACCAUGAUUCUCCUGUUCUAGGUGGGCAUAUGGGAUAUCGCCGUGUGACUAAGAAGCUGUGUAGGUAUUUCUAUUGGCCAGAGAUGCGACAUGAUGUUAUCCGGUAUGUGCGUAGCUGUGUUUGGUGCCAAGCUCGUAAUACUCCCCCUUGUGCUGCGGAAGGACGGUUGGAGUCAAUUGCAAUUUCCCGUCCGUUUGAGUUGGUGGCGUUUGAUCUUAUGGGACCUUUUCCACAGUCGACUACUGGCAAUGAGUAUGUUAUUAUUGCUUCUGACUACUUGACUCGUUAGGUGGAACUGGUUGCUCCUCGGAUGGAAAGAGAGGGUCCUCUAUGCGAUGAGCACCUGGAGGCCGCAGAACAAGCAAGCUGGCUGAACUGCAGUAAGUUUCUCAUUUGUUCCUUCUUUAAGUUCUUUCUAUUCUAGUGUAUGUUAACGCUGACUAGUGCAGCAUCAGGGAUUCUCUGAUGAAGAGUGAUCUAAAAUCCCUGAAAGAGUGGAGCUCGGCUCGAUGGAAGAAGACCGAGUCCAGUCCAGAUUCUCCUGAAAUGCAAACAGGAAUAUGUAAAAAUGAUUGGUCAGGUUAGUAAAUCUUAGUGUCAAACGCCUUUGAAGGAAAGGUACUGCUUGAUAGUGAACCCUGUCCAAAGAGUAUUCACUUUCCAUACGAAGAGAAACGCAGUCAGACAGUGAAGUAUGAAAGUGAAAAAUAGUUCUAAGAAAUAAUUGCAUUUGGCACACUCAUUCCUUGUCAAUCAGUAAAUCUUCUAUCUGUCAUUAUCACACCAUAAGUGGCCCCUACAUAAUUAGAUUCAUGGCCUUGUCAGUAGAGCAGGAGUGUCUAUCCAAGAAUGGAGGGAGGUUUCUCAAUUUGCCUUUACAAGUGUCAGGAUCAAUGACCCGAUUUACCAUAGUCACAGAACAGGCAAGUAAUGUUCUUUUUCUUGAGCAAUAGGUUUGGUUAAUUCUCAUCUGGUGUAAAUGAUAAUUCUUGAUUCUUCAUCAGGAGAGGGAUCUAGAUGAGGUAAGGAAUGAUAUUCAACUCACACAACCACAUUGGGAAUGUUAUAUAAGGACUAGGGCUGGAAGGAAGACACUAAUAAAUUACUUGUUUUGUGGCUUCAAGGUUGCCCUUGAAUUUGAGCACAUCCAACGUUGUUUGAUGGUUUCUUGUUUUGUCAAGGGUGUUACAUUUUAUAUAAGUCUCUAUAUCUUGUUAAUGUUAUUUUUUAACAGAUGUAUUUGGUUUUUUUUUUAAAACAUUUUACAAUAAAAUCAAAGCCAUUCAAAAGAAUAUACUACAAAUAAAAUAAAAAACUUACAAAUAAUAUCUAUUUUAAUAUAUUUUAUAAUUCUCUUAAUCUAUUUUAGGUUAAAAGAAAAAAAAUUGGACAAAAUUUCAGGUAAAAUAUUUAUGUGAAAUUUAUAUAUUUAGAUCUCAAAGCAUUAGUAUAAUAUAUCAACAUGAUUUUAUUUAUAAGUUCUUCAAUUUUAAAUGUUGUUAAAGAUGUUUUUCCAUCAUAUGCACUUCCUCCUAGAAUUGUAAAAUAUAAUUAUGAAUUUAUAAGUCAUAAUAGUGAUAUAAAAGAUUUUAUUUGUAUGGAUGACAAUAUGGAAAUACCAAUAAUGAAUUGUAAAAUAUAAUAACUCAAUUACUUGAUGAUAGUAUCCAAUAAUCACAUACACUACAAAAGACAUAUUUAUGGAUACCCAAUAUAUACAACUUCAAUUAAGACUAUAAUAUUAUAUUUUAAAAAUUAUUAAUCAAUAAAACUUUAAAUCAUGUCAUUUAUUUUGAUAUUAUAUGUAAUGCACCCUAUCUCUUUCCCCUGAAUCCAACUGAAAAAGGGGUAAUUAUUUAAUGAAAAACCUUUAAUAACUAUUUAUCCUCAUUUCAGUGACAGUAUAUUUAAAUUUUAUCUUAUGAUCAUAAAUGUUAUAAUAUAAACACCUAAAUUACCAAGGAAAUAAUGUUUAAUAUCAUAAAAACAUUAUAUAAAGCCCAAGGGCAUAAAUUCAUAAAGAAUAAUAGAUAAUAGGUAUUAUUUAAAGUUAAAAAUUAUUAAAAGGUAAAACCAGAGGAAGCUAUCCAAAAUGGAUAAUGCCAAAAGGAUUUUAAUACAAAUAUAUGGGGCCUAUGAAUAAUAAUCAUGAUAUGUUGAAUUAUAAAUUGUGUAUAUCUAAAUUGAAAACCCACUCUUUAAGUCAUUGAGUAAAUUUAUCCUUAAAACACAUAUUAAGACAUGGAGGGUCAACACUAAUGGCCCAUUUCAUUAAAGAUAUAGUCAAAUAUUUUGAAACAUUAAACAAUUUAUAGUUCAAUUGUGAGGCAUUAUAUGUUUAUAUUUAUCUUUAUUUACUUUUUUUUUCUUCUCAUUUGACUUUUUUUGUUCUUGUUUCACUUCAUUUGAAUUUUGUUGCUGUUUGAAUUCAUUUGGGGGUCAAAGCAUGAAAGGGUGGGCCAGAAAAUAGACAUUUUUUAGUAGUUUAUAGUGAAUAUAAAUUUUAAUUUUUCUAUUAAAUCUUUUAUAAUUUUUAAAAUAUAAAUAAAUGUGGAAUGUAAUGUUGCAUAUAUCUACUUCAACAAAAAUUAAAAAUCGUUUUUUAAAUUUUAAGUUUUGGCUGAACAUCCUAAAAAGUCUUUUUUAUGAUCUCACCUUGACUUAGUUUUAAAACUUGGAGCUUGAUUUAUGAAUUGCACACUAUAAAUGAUUAUUGAGCAUUUUGCAAAUACACAUGAAUGCGUAGAGGCCAAGAUGUGUCUUCCAUUCAUGUAUGAUCAUGCAGUGAGUGUUGACAAGCCAUCAAGAAUCAACAUUGAUGUAGUUUUUGAAAGUAUAGCUACUUACCUAUGUAGUGCAUAUGAUAUUAAAGGGUACUCAGUGAUUCCAAAAAGUAAAGUGGUUGAAAUAACUUUGAUUGCUUGUGAAGUGGAAGAAUUGAAUGGGAGAUCAAAGAAGAUUUUGAAUUAAAUGUAAAUCCUCCUCAAUUAACUCCUCUUAAGCAAGAGCUUGUUAGAGAAGAUGCAUGGGUUAUUUAAUUUCUCUUGUGAUUUUCUUAACUUUGAUACAAAAUUAUCACUGCAUUUAGAGUACAUGCUAUAUGAUGCAAGCCAAUAACAACCACCUCAUAACUCUAUGCCAUAUAUGAUAUGAUGAUAUGAAUACCAUACUAAUAAAUCUUGGGUCAUGCUUCUUACAUACCAAUACUCCAAAUAACCAAGGAUCUAAUAAACUAGAGGAUUUAUAAAAAAUUAAGGGAAAAUUACAAUUUUCUACCUGAAAGAUUGAAAAUGUAUAGGAAAUUUUGUAAUUUAAAACUUUCAAAUAUAUCUACAAAAUGUGGUCUCCACUUUUCAAAUAGAAUAAUGUUGAAAGUCAUCAAUUUUUCUUUCUUGCACCUUAAAUCUCAUUUAAUUUGGACCCAUGUUAUUUCAUGAAGAAAUCUAGAGCCCCAAAGCAGAGCCAGAUCUUUCAUUGACGGAAGAAAUCGUUUGCUGACAUAUCCAGGAACCUUGGGCAUUGCGGCACCGAAGCACUGGGAACAUGCUAGGGUUGAAGAAUUCAGUGGAUCCAAAAUGUGCGCUCUUAAGCUCACUAAACCAUUGCCGAAUCGUGCAGAAGAACUCAUGUGAAGAGUUGUCCAAAUCAUUGGGGGAUGGACUUAAGCUGUGAUACCUUCACCAGAGGAAGCUUUCUGAGAUCGGAGAUAGAUUUUGUUUGGCAUUUCAAUGAUCUUAGAGUGUAUUUCGGUAUUAAGAACCCAGAAGCAUAGCAUUUUAUUCCACCACAUAAUAUUUGAAAGGAACACCGGUGUGACCACUGGCAAUGGAGCUUGCUACGUUUCACUUUUGGGGGCUUAAACUAGUGCCACCACUUUGAGUACAAGGUCUCCCAGCGCACCGGAAGUAGAAAAGGACGGAAGCUGCACAACACAAUUCUUGCACUCAUCGCUGACAGACAGCUUAUUACUGCCAGUGUAUGGACAAUCAAAGUGUAUAGUGGCAACUUUGAAGCCCUUCGUAUAGAUGUCAAAUCCACCUGUAGUCCCAGAUGGAGAACCUUGCCUUCCACAUGCAGCAAAUGGCGGGUUGGGAGAGGUUGCUCCUGCAGCAAUGGUUAUCCCACCUGGUGCGCUGCCAUCAUUGUUCUUAUUUGGGUACUUAUACCACUUUCCAUAUGAUAAGAAGGAGUUUUUCACUUCUAAGGUGUCUCGUCCCAGGUUUGUGAUCUUGAAGGAUACCCACUGAGGAUAUCCUCCCAACUUUCCAUCUGCAUUACACAUGUAUUUGUAAGCCCAGCAAUUAAACUUGAGUUACGAACCGGUGACUUGAAAGAUAGAAACCGAGUCCUCUUCUCCAGCCGAAGCAGCAGAAGCUAAGCUCCCAAUGGAUAUGCAAAGCAAUGCUAGAAGGAAAGAAGAACUCGACAUGAUUUCUUGCAAAUUUGGAUUUGGGCUUGCAAAUUUAUACUCCCUAAAUAUCACUUUUUAAACGUUUAACAAUGGUUAUGGAAUCUAAAACAAAGCACAAAGUUCUAAAACUUGAACCAUUUUUAAACAGGUUAGUGCCUCCUCGUGGUCCUCAAAAGGUUUAGACUAAGGAACAAUAUGUGGCAUAAUUGUCAGUCCCACGUGAAAGAUUGCGACGUAUAGCGACGUUUAGCUUUCCAACACUAGAGUAUAAUUAUCAUAGGAGAAAAUUGAAACGAUAGAUCGUCACCUAUUUCAGCUGAAUUCUUCCGUGAAAUGGUCGUUGUUUAAGAAAUGCAGUACCAACGGGAGCAAGAGUUCACGGUGAGAUCCUCCAAUUUUGCAGCAAAACCAGGAAUCUGUUGCAUGCAAAAGAGAUUUACGAAUUCGGGGGGAGUGACGAUUGUGCAGCAAGCAGCUGCACAAUCCAUCCAUGAAUUUGGAUGGAUCCAUGCACAUCCAUGAAAUUGGAAAUCCAGAUGUUUGGAAGACGUGGGAGCUUGCAAGAAGCAAGAGAGAGAUCGCAUGGGAUCUGCAAGGAAUCGUUUCUUGUGGAACAACAUGAUUGCUGUGCAGGAUAUGCCAAAACGGCUAUCGGGAGUGAAGGAAUUGCUAUGGGAGACAAGAACAUUGUAGCCUGGAACACAAUGCUCCAGGCAUACAAUCAGGUCAAAUAUAUUGAAAAGGAAAGAUAAUUUGAUGCAAUGCCGGAUAAGUUUAGUGGACUACGAUUCUUACAGCAUAUGCCCGGUGUGGGUAUUUGAUAGAAGCGAAGCUAAUCUGUGAUUCGAUGACACUUUUUCCUGGAAUUCAACGAGGCCUUUUCUAACGAAGUCCCGAGCACGCCUCAUGACGUGGAAUUGGCUAUCUUUUAAAUGCCAAAGCCGAGAGAGUUGUUUCGUCCAUCGUUAGAGCAUAUGCCCGGAGCGGGCAUACGACCAGAGCCAAGCGGAUGUUUGCUGCCUUCUCGGGAAGAAAGAUCUCAUCGCCUGGAACACGCUGAACACGGCCUUGUCGCAUUGCCAGGAUCACGGCAGAGACACCAUCAACGUGGCGUUUGAUCCUGAGCAUUCGGCGUUUGUGAGCGUUCUUGGUACUUGCGGCCAGCUUGGGCUGUUCUAGUGGGGAUGGAGCUACUUUCGAAACAUGCCCAAUGAUCACCGCCAUGUGGAUCUCUGCACUUGAUCUGGUCAACUAGCUGCUGAGGAUCUCAUAUCCAGCACGUCCCGGAUGGAGCCUGGGAGCAGGAGUCAAGAGGAUCCACAAUGAGCAGAUGUGAUUCAUUGUUUUGUGAUUCCAAUGUGUGAUAGGAGAUAGUCAAAACGGGAUCCAACGUAUACAUCUCUCUCCAAAAGUAGUAGUGUUUUAUAAUUUUACAAAAACUUACGAGCAAUUUAUUCUUUCCUGGAGUUCAGAAAUCAUCCUCAAUGCUGAUGCUUCUUGGAAAAAUUAAGAUAUAAAUAUCUUUGAAAUGUCCAAGGCAUCUGUUCUUCACUCUUAUUAUCAUCACGAAGGAUUUUGCGCCGCCUGGCACCAGUUGCACUUUGAAAGAGAAAUUUGCCGCAGGAGUGAUUGUUUCCUUCAAGCUGGAAUGAAACCUAAGUUUGCUCAUAGAUCUAGAUGUUUGUAAUAAUGUAUUUAUGGUCUUGGGUGCUUUACAAAUUGACUACAAGAAUUACAAAGUUUGACUCUCAAAUGAUAUGUAAUAAAUUUUCUUUGGUAACACGUGUUUGAAGGCUUAGUGUAAACUUCGUCAUUUUGAUAUUUUUUUAUCUAUACUUGUGAGGGCCAAGUGUAUGGCUACGAUGCCGUAUAUUAAUAUUAGCGUAGUGGGAUUUUGGUAGCCGUCGGAUUGGUUUCAAUCCGGACCACUCGCUCCUAUAUAUAAGCUAGGGUUUUUGGGCUAAUUGAUAUGCACAUUUCUGUAUUCCCUUUCUAUAUUCCAGGCACUCACAUUGGUGGAGGUGAGGGGCACCUUUGAUUGUCCUUGAGGAGUGCUUGGAUUUGGGAUUUUGGUUUAAAUCUAGCUUUUGCAUCGUCUAGAUCUAGUUUUUUCCAUUUCCUUUCUUUUGUUCUUUCUUUUCAGUAUUUUGGUUUAGAUCUAGCUUUUUGCAUUGUCUAGAUCUACCAUUUCUUUCCAGCUUUUUGUCAUUUCUCUUCUUUUGCUCUUUCUUUUUCGUUCAUCUUCAUGGCCGAUCCGCAAUCUCCUCCUUUGACUCUAGAGCAGCAGCCUCCUGCUCUUGGUGCCAAUCCUCGCGUUCGCCCGGAGUUCUUUCGUGAGAAUCCUGGGGAUGAUGUGUACCAUUGGUUUGAUCACUUCACGGUGAUUGCCACAUAUCAUUCUUAGGAUGAUGCUCGACAUUUGCGUGAGUUUCCCACGUGUCUCCAAGGGACGGCGUUGCAGUGGUACAAUGGAUUGAGUGCGGCCACUCGUGGGGAUUGGAGUGUUCUUCCGGACGUCUUCAAACACGCCUUCGAACAUGCUGACGAUUGUGACGAUGCCUUCCAACAAUUGCAUCGUCUUCGCCAAGGGUCCUCUGAGUCAGUGAUGCAAUUUGGCGUUCGUUUCCGAAGUCUUUUGCUUCGUGCGGAGCCUAAUAUGUCGGAGCGGAUCAAGCUAGGAAUGUUGUGGCCAGCACUUCGUCAAGAUUUUGUCGGCCUUGUGCAUGCACUUGCUCCUGCCACCCUUGACGAUGCUCUUUGCUUGGCACAACGUUAUGAGACGUCACCUCUUCCACUUCUUGCUGCACGUCCUUCAGCUCCACUUCCUAUGAGUGAUGGUCCUGUUCCAAUGGAGGUUGAUGCUGCUGCUACUCAAGUCCAUGGACAAGGGCGUGGACGUGGUUGUGGCCAUGAUAUUCGUUGCUGGGCGUGUGAUGAAGUUGGUCAUAUUUAUCAGUGUUGUCGGCACUUUCCGGAUUGGCGACCUCCAUUUCCUGGGUGGAGACCUUGGCGUCAGCAACGUUCUGUUGGUGCUGCUGCGGUGGAAGGUUUGGAUACCGAGGUGCAUCCAGGAAACGAGGAGUCGCGCAAGUAAUGGAGGGACCUUGCGCAAAUAAGUUAAUGACCCCUCCAUCUUUUUUUCAGGAGUAUCAUCAAGGGGUUCACUCGGCACCGGUUCAUCCAGUGUUUACUUUCCAAGCUCGUUUUUAUAACAAGAGGUCUCCUAUUCUUCUCUCCGUGUUGGUUGAUACAGGUUCGAGUUUAUCUUCUAUUGCUCGACCUAUUGCCACACGUUGUCGUCUACACUUGUGUCGUGUGGCGGAUCCAGUUUUCAUUCUUUAUGGCAACGGCCGUACACAUGCAUGUGCACGAGAUGAGGCGGACCUGGUUGUGUGUGUGGGCAAUCUCGAGCUUGAGUUGUAGUCGUUGCGGGUGGUGCCGAGUUAAACUUUUGACCUCAUUCUUGGUAUGGAUUGGUUGCAGUGCAAUCAUGCCAAGUGUGACUUUGAGGCUUCUCCCCCUUGUCUCAUCCUUCCUUAUGUUUCAUCCAUUCCUCUCACUUCCGUACCUCUUCGUCCCUCUACUUUUACCUCUGCUUCCAUGACUUUUGUUCCCCCACUAUUUCCUCUUGUGUUUCCAUCUUGUUCUGCUCUUCCCUUUUCCGAUCCCUCUGAUGAUCUUUGUGUUGCAGCUGUUGACCAGCUCAUGAAGGAGUAUUCUGAUCUCUUUGAAUUUGACCUAUCGUCAGGGGCCAAGAUUGCCACAACCGGGGAUGCUCGUCCAAUCAAGGUUCCUGUUCGUCGUUGGUCACCCAAGGAGAUCAAGAUUUUACGUGCAAACGUCAAGGAGAUGUUCAUCGCCCAGGGAGUUUUAUGGCUGAUGCUGAUGCCCUUUCUUGAAGUCCUCUUCCUUCUCCACUUUCUUAUCAUAUUUCUGAUGAGCCUGUUGUUCCAACAUCUGUGGAUUUUCUAGACGAGGAUUCAGUGCCGUCAGCGGUUGUUGUACUUGAUGUUUAGUGUCCACAAGGCGCAUAGCAAGAUCUACCUUCUCUUGAUGAGGUUCGCGAGGCUCAAAAGAUUGAGCCGUGGAUUCGAAGGCUUCAUGAUGCGUUUGAGGAUCCUGCAUCACUUGUGGAUGACUUGCCUUUCCGGCAUUUACAUUCUCAAUAUCGCCUUGAAGAUGGCCUUCUUUAUUUUGUGGGGACGGAUCCUGAUGAUCAUUUACUGCCUUCUAUCUUUAUUCCACGGUUUCUCCAUGCUUACCAUGAUUCUCUUGUUCUAGGUGGGCAUAUGGGAUAUCGUCGUGUGACUAAGAAGUUGUGUAGGUCUUUCUAUUGGCCAGAAAUGCGACAUGAUGUUAUCCGGUAUAUGCGUAGCUGUGUUUGGGGCCAAGCUUGUAAUACUCCCCCUUGUGCUGUGGAAGGACGGUUGGAGUCAAUUGCAAUUUCCCGUCCAUUUGAGUUGGUGGCGUUUGAUCUUAUGGGACCUUUUCCACAGUCGACUACUGGCAAUGAGUAUGUUAUUAUUGCUUCUGACUACUUGACUCGUUAGGUGGAAGUUGGUGCUCUUGCUAGCGCCUCUGCAACUGCUGUUGGAUACUUUCUCCUCAAUCGAGUGGUGUUCCAACAUUCUUGUCCAGAGCGGAUUCUUUCGGAUAAUGGUCUUGCAUUUAUAUGGCUGAGGUAUUUCAUGUUUUGAUGUCUCGGUUGGGGAUACGCCACACUUUUACGAGUGCUUAUCAUCCACAAUCAGAUGGUCUGGUGGAACGGCUCGUUCGGACGUUCAAAGGGAUGAUUGCGAAGUAUGUGAACUUUCAACAUUCGGAUUGGGAUGGUUAUUUGCCGUCUCUUCGGUAUGCCUAUGUCACAGGGGUGCAGAGUUCUGUUGGUGCUUCACCAUAUAAACUUCUAUAUGGUCAUGAUCCAAUAUUACCAACGGAGCUGGGUUUACCUUCACGAUUGCCACGAGCUCCUGAUGCUAGGUCAUAGGAUCACUAUUUGACGAGCAUUCUUCCACUUGUCCAAGCAGAGUCUGCCGAACACUUAGGCCGCGUACAAGUGGGACAACAAUGGCACUACAACUCCUAUCACCGUCCACCUGCAGAGUACAAAGUGGAUGAUUUGGUGUUAGUCCGUUUUCCCCAUCUUACAGUACGUGGUUUAUCUAAGGGGCUCCUUGCACAGUGGAAAGGACCAUAUCAGGUGUUGCGGCAAGUUGGACCUCAAGUUUAUGAGGUUCGGUAUGACGUCCAGCGGGCCGAUCCUCUGGAGAUUGUGCAUGUGCAGCGGUUGAAACGCUUCAUACAAAGGGAUCAGGAGCAGUUAAUGCCGUCUACAGAUCCGCCGAUGCCUCCUCUUGACGUUCUUCUCCUCUAGAUCCCGGCCCAUCUACAAGAGAACCCUGAUAGCCUUCCAUUAUUCCGAGAGGAGGGGAUGAUGUGAGGGCCAAGUGUACGGCUACGAUGCCGUAUACUAAUAUUAGCGUAGUGGGAUUUUGGUAGCCGUUGGAUUGGUUUCAAUCCGGACCACUCGCUCCUAUAUAUAAGCUAGGGUUUUUGGGCUAAUUGAUAUGCAUAUUUCUGUAUUCCCUUUCCAUAUUCCAGGCACUCACAUACUGAUAUAUCUUCUCUAAAUCUCUUUAGAAUUUUUUAGCAGCAUAAACCUUUUUAUGGCUUUCUCAAAACCCAAUUUUAAGUCUAUAUCAUUUUCAUUUGGGCAUAUACUUACAAUUUUACAUAGCUUUAAUAAGUUUUCUGUAAUUGUUUUUUCUGUGAUAUUGUACCACUUGUGUGUAGCUUCCCACUUGUAUAAUUUUGUAUUGUAUAUCAAGUGUGAAUGUGUUAAUCAUGUCUGCCAUUUUUUAUAGGAAUUCAUCUAUAUAAAAACUUCUUAAAACUUCAUGAAACUUCCAGGGGUAUUUUUGUAGUUUUCAAUCUUUUGAGGGUAAAAUUAUUUUCGGGUGCCAAGGUGUGAAUAUUCAGUAUCAAGAAUAUGGACAAAAUUUUAAAUUCUAAUCUGUAUGCAAAAGUCAGCAUUAUGGCAGACUUAAAUGACUCCUCAACUUUACUUAUACAGAUAAGAUAGAAAGGUUUGAUCUAUUAUCAUGUUGAUCUUGUUGUUGGUGACCCUAUUAAGUAGCAUCCCUCACUCGAGCCCUCAAAUAAUUGUUGAUCCAGGCAUAGGAGGGAGAAUACGUCGUGAAUACUUUCCAAUCAUCAUAGGCAGCCUUGCCAGCUUGGUGACGAACAUCCACCAACACAUGACGACACCCUUAGAUGCUACCAACUUAUCUUUGCAUUUCAGAACCUCCUACAUAUAAUGUUGAACAACUUGUAUGCAACAGGAGCAAACUAUAUUACAAUCAUUAAUGGAAGAUUUGGGAUGGAGUAUGUGCUUGACGAGGCAACCCAACAAGACUCACGUCAGAGCUCUAUGCUUGGGUCAUGCUUCCCAAGAAGGUAGAUUCUUUCAGGAUCUCGACUCGAUCGAUCAUACAUUCUUUCUCCUCAGGUGGACUAUCGAGGAACCCUAAACCUCGUGGAAGCGUGCCGCAAGAAUGGGAUCAAGAGAUUCGUGCUCGUAAGCUCCAUUCUCGUGAAUGGCUAUUGUCUCUAUCCCCAGCGAUGAGCGCCGAUCUAGUGUCAAAGCUGCGCGCGGCGCUUCUCCAUCACCAGGUUCGUCUCGAUCCAGUGCCGCAGCGCCAGCACGUCGAGGAUCCCAACGAUCCCACGCUCGCUUACAUUUCCCGGAUGCUUCUGGACGAGGAGGAGGAGCCGCCGCAGAUGAUCCAGCUCCAGGAUGCCUACAAGAAUCUCAUCGCGGAGCUUGCCGCGCUGGUGUCUUCGCCCGGCGGCAGUGGGAAUCUCAUCCAUCCAGACGAUUCUGGAAAUAUUUCGGUGCCAGACGUCCACGAAUCCAGGACGGGGUUCCUGAAAUCGAUGCUCCUGGAAGCGGCUCGAGCGGUGGCGGGGAAUCGUGGCUCCGAGGUCUACAGGAUCAUCAGCGAGGUGAGGAGCCUGGCAUCGCCAGAGGGCAGCAGUGAAGAACGCACGGCCUUGUUCUUCGCGGAUGCCCUGAUUGCGCGCUUCACAGGGUUUGGGUCGCAGGUCUACAGCGCCAUGGUGAAAGGGAUUCGCGAGAGGCACUCGGUCCACGUCCGGAUGCUCAAUCUCCCAUCCUUCAGGGUCACCCAGCGAUUUGCCAACGGCACCAUUCUAGACUUUUGCCAAGGAGGUACGAGAAUUCACAUCAUCGACUAUGGGAUCCACUAUGGCUGCCAGUGGCCCCAGCUCAUCCAGAGGCUCUCGCAGCGGCCAGAGGGACCGCCGGCGAUGAAGAUCACAGGGAUCGACUUUCCUCGCGUGGACGUCAAGGAGACAGAGAGAAACCUCGUGGAGUAUGCCAAGAGCUGUGGAAUCUCGCUCGAGUUUGAGGCGAUCACGAGCACGUCCUGGGAAUUGGUCCAGCCCAAGACUCACGUGAAUGACUUGCUCAUCGUCAACUGCAACCUCCGCAUCCGGCAUUUGCGAGAAGAUGGCAGCGUCGGCGACAAUCCGCGAAAGCUCUUCUUCGAGAAGGUCUACACCCUCAAGCCGGACCUGUUCAUACAGUGCGUGGUGGAUGCCGGCUCCAACUUGAGCUCCCCUUUCUUCAUCCAACGUUUCGAGGGGGCUCUCGAGAGUUUCUUCAUGACGAUGGACCUGUUUCAGACUCUGCUGCAAGAGGAGAUGUCGGAGGAGUACGAUUACAUAGGGAACAUCAUGGCAAAGACGAUCAUGAACGUGGUGGCUAUGGAGGGCGUUGAAAGGUUGGAGCGGCCAAAUUCUUACAGGAGCUGGGAUUCGAGGGCUAGACGAGCUGGAUUUGAGCAGGAACCAGUUAGGCCGAAAGCGGUGGAGCUGGUUAAGGCAGCGUGGUGCAGCAGUAAGCCCAAUUGCAACUUCAAGAUGGGGAUGGAUGGGAACUGGUUGCUACUCGGAUGGAAAGAGAGGGUCCUCUAUGCGAUGAGCACCUGGAGGCCGCAGAACAAGCAAGCGGGCUAAACUGCGGUAAGUUUCUCAUUUGUUCCUUCUUUAAAGUUGUUUCUAUUCUAGUGUAUAUUAACGCUGACUAGUGCAGCAUCAGGGAUUCUCUGAUGAAGAGUGAUCUAAAAUCCCUGGAAGAGUGGAGCUCGGCUCGAUGGAAGAAGACCGAGUCCAGUCCAGAUUCUCUUGAAAUGCAAACGGGAAUAUGUAAAAAUGAUUGGUCAGGUUAGUAAAUCUCAGUGUCAAACGCCUUUGAAGGAAAGGUACUGCUUGAUAGUGAACCCUGUCCAAAGAGUAUUCACUUUUUUCUAGUGCCAUACGAAGAGAAACGCAGUCAGACAGUGAAGUAUGAAAGUGAAAAAUAGCUCUAAGAAAUAAUUGCAUUUGGCUCACUCAUUCCUUGAGUAAAUCUUCUAUCUGUCAUUAUCACACCAGAAGGUAGUUCAUGGGGUGGCACCCCAUACAUAAUUAGAUUCAUGGCCUUGGUCAGUAGAGCAGGAGUGUCUAUCCAAGAAUGGAGGGAGGUUUCUCAAUUUGCCUUUACAAGUGUCAGGAUCAAAUGAGAUUUACCAUAGUCACAGAACAAGCAGUUUGAGUAAGUAAUGUUCUUUUUCUUGAGCAAUAGGUUUAGUGAAGUGUUAUCUGGUGUUAAUGAUAGUUCUUGAUUCUUCAUCAGGAGAGGGAUCUAGAACAUGAUUUUAUUUAUAAGUUCUUUAAUUUUAAAUGUUGUUAAAGAUGUUGUUUGUCCAUCAUAUGCACUUCCUCCUAGAAUUGUAAAAUAUAAUUAUGAAUUUAUAAGUCAUAAUAGUGAUUUUAUAAAAGAUUUUAUUUGUAUGGAUGACAAUAUGGAAAUACUAAUAAUGAAUUGUAAGAUAUGAUAACUCAAUUACUUGAUGAUAAUAUCCAAUAAUCACAUGCACUACGAAGGAAAUACACAUGGGUGUGCAAUAUAUAUAAUUUCAAUUAAGACUAUAUCUUGCUCAAGGGUAUAUUAUAUUUUAAAUAGUUAUUAAUCAAUAAGAAUUAAAAUCAUGUCAUUUAUUUUGAUAUUAUAUAUAAUGCACUAUAUCUCUUUCCCCUGAAUCCAAAUAGAAAAGGGGUAACUUUUUAAUGAAAAAACCCUUAAUAACUAUUUAUCUUUAUUUAUCCUUUGAGGUUCCAAAGAUCCACAGUGAUAGUAUAUUUAAAUCUUAUUUUAUGAUCACAUAUGUUGCAAUAUAAACACCUAAAUUACCAAGGAAAUAAUGUUUAAUAUCAUAAAAACAUUAUAUAAAGCCCAAGGGCAUAAAUUCAUAAAGAAUAAUAGAUAAUAGGUAUUAUUUAAAGUUAAAAAUUAUUAAAAGGUAAAACCAGAGGAAGCUAUCCAAAAUGGAUAAUGCCAAAAGGAUUUUAAUACAAAUAUAUGGGGCCUAUGAAUAAUAAUCAUGAUGUGUUGAAUUAUAAAUUGUGUAUAUCUAAAUUGAAAACCCACUCUUUAAGUCAUUGAGUAAAUUUAUCCUUAAAACACAUAUUAAGACAUGGAGGGUCAACACUAAUGGCCCAUUUCAUUAAAUAUAUAGUCAAAUAUUUUGAAACAUUAAACAAUUUAUAGUCCAAUUGUGAGCCACCAUAUGUUUAUAUUUAUCUUUAUUUAAUUUUUUUCUUCUCAUUUGACUUUUUUUGUGCUUGUUUCACUUCAUUUGAAUUUUUUUGUUGUUUGAAUUCAUUUGGGGGUCAAAGCAUGAAAGGGUGGGCCAGAAAAUAGAUAUUUUCUAGUAGUUUACAGUGAAUAUAAAUUUUAAUUUUUCUAUUAGAUCCUUUAUGAUUUUUUAAAAUAUAAAUAAAUGUGGAAUGUAAUGUUGCAUAUAUCUACUUCAAAAAAAAUUAAAAAUCGUUUUUUAAAAUUUAAGUUUUGGCUGAACAUCCUAAAAAGUCUUUUUUAUGAUCUCACCCUUGACUUAGUUUUAAAACUUGGUUUUAGCUUGAUUUAUGAAUUGCACACUAUAGAUGAUUAUUGACCAUUUUGCAAAUACACAUGAAUGCAUAGAUGCCAAGAUGUGUCUUCCAUUCAUAUAUGAUCAUGUGGUGAGUCAAAUAGAUAGUGUUGACAAGCCAUCAAGAAUCAACAUUGAUGUAGUUUUUGAAAGUAUAGCUACUUACCUAUGUAGUGUAUAUGAUAUUAAAGGCUACUCAGUGAUUCCAAAAGGUAAAGUGGUUGAAAUAGCUUUGAUUGCUUGUGAAGUGGAAGAAUUGAAUGGGAGAUCAAAGAAGAUUUUGAAUUAAAUGUAAAUCCUCCUCAAUUAACUCCUCUUAAGCAAGAGCUUGUUAGAGAAGAUGCAUAAAGCAUUUGGGUUAUUUAGUUUCUCUUGUGAUUUUCUUAACUUUGAUACAAAAUUAUCACCACAUUUUGAGUACAUGCUAUAUGAUGCAAGCCAACAACAACCACCUCAUAACUCUAUGCCAUAUAUGAUAUGAUGAUAUGAAUACCAUACUAAUAAAUCUUGGGUCAUGCUUCUUAUACACCAAUACUCCUAAUAACCAAGGAUCUAAUAAACUAGAGGAUUUAUAAAAAAUUAAGGGAAAAUUACAAUUUUUUACCUGAAAGAUUGAAAAUGUAUGGGUAAUUUAAAACUUUCAAAUAUAUCUACAAAAUGUGGUCUGCACUUUUCAAAUAGAAUAAUGUUGAAAGUCAUCUAUUUUUCUUUCUUGUACCUUAAAUCUCAUUUAAUUUGGACCCAUGUUAUUUCAUGAAGAAAUCUAGAGCCCCAAAGCAGAGCCAGAUCUUUCAUUGACAGAAGAAAUCGUUUGCUGACAUAUCCAGGAACCUUGGGCAUUAUGGCACCGAAGCACUGGGAACAUGCUAGGGUUGAAGAAUUCAGUGGAUCCAAAAUGCGCACUCUUAAGCUCACUAAACCAUUGCCGAAGAACUCAUAUGAAGAGUUGUCCAAAUCAUUGGGGGAUGGACUUAAGCUGUGAUACCUUCACCAGAGGAAGCUUUCUGAGAUCGGAGAUAGAUUUUGUUUGGCAUUUCAAUGAUCUUAGAGUGUAUUUCGGUAUUAAGACCAGACGCAUAGCAUUUUAUUCCACCACAUAAUAUUUGAAAGGACACCAGUGUGACCACUGGCAAUGGAGCUUGCUACGCUUCACUUUCGGGGGCUUAAACUAGUGCCACCACUUUGAGUACAAGGUCUCCCAGUGCACCGGAAGUAGAAAAGGACGGAAGCUGCACAACACAAUUCUUGCACUCAUCGCUGACAGACAGCUUAUUAUUGCCAGUGUAUGGACAAUCAAAGUGUAUAGUGGCAACUUUGAAGCCCUUUGUAUAGAUGUCAAAUCCACCUGUAGUCCCAGAUGGAGAACCUUGCCUUCCACAUGCAGCAAAUGGCGGGUUGGGAGAGGUUGCUCCAGCAGCAAUGGUUAUCCCACCUGGUGCACUGCCAUCAUUGUUCUUAUUUGGGUACUUAUACCACUUUCCAUAUGAUAAGAAGGAGUUUUUCACUUCUAAGGUGUCUCGUCCCAGGUUUGUGAUCUUGAAGGAUACCCACUGAGGAUAUCCCUCCCAACUUUCCAUCUGCAUUACACAUGUAUUUGUAAGCCCAGCAAUUAAACUUGAGUUACGAACCGGUGACUUGAAAGAUAGAAACCGAGUCCUCUUCUCCAGCCGAAGCAGCAGAAGCUAAGCUCCUAAUGGAUAUGCAAAGCAAUGCUAGAAGGAAAGAAGAACUCGACAUGAUUUCUUGCAAAUUUGGAUUUGGGCUUGCAAAUUUAUACUCCCUAAAUAUCACUUUUUAAACGUUCAACAAUGGUUAUGGAAUCUAAAACAAAGCACAAAGUUCUAAAACUUGAACCAUUUUUAAACAGGUUAGUGCCUCCUACUCAAAAGGUUUAGACUAAGGAGCAGUAUGUGGCAUAAUUGUCAGUCUCACGUGAAAGAUUGCGACGUAUAGCGACGUUUAGCUUUCCAACACUAGAGUAUAAUUAUCAUAGGAGAAAAUUGAAAAGAUCGAUCGUCACAUAUUUCAGCUGAAUUCUUCCGUGAAAUGGUCGUUGUUUAAGAAAUGCAGUACCAACGGGAGCAAGAGUUCACGGCGAGAUCCUCCAAUUUUGCAGCAAAACCAGGAAUCUGUCGCGUGCAAAAGAGAUUUACGAAUUCGGGGGGAGUGACGAUUGUGCAGCAAGCAGCUGCACAAUCCAUCCAUGAAUUUGGAUGGAUCCAUGCACAUUCAUGAAAUUGGAAAUCCAGAUGUUUGGAAGAUGUGGGAGCUUGCAAGAAGCAAGAGAGAGAUCGCAUGGGAUCUGCAAGGAAUCGUUUCUUGUGGAACAACAUGAUUGCUGCGCAGGAUAUGCCAAAACGGCUAUCGGGAGUGAAGGAAUUGCUAUGGGAGACAAGAACAUUGUAGCCUGGAAUCAGGUCAAAGAUAUUGAAAAGGAAAGAUAAUUUGAUGCAAUGCCGGAUAAGUUUAGUGGACUACGAUUCUUACAGCAUAUGCCCGGUGUGGGUAUUUGAUAAAAGCGAAGCUAAUCUGUGAUUCGAUAACAUGUUUUCCUGGAAUUCAACGAGGCCUUUUCGAACGAAUUCCCGAGCACGCCUCAUGACGUGGAAUUGGCUAUCUUUUAAAUGCCAAAGCCGAGAGAGUUGUUUCCUCCAUCGUCAGAGCAUAUGCCCGGAGCGGGCAUACGACCAGAGCCAAGCGGAUGUUCGCUGCCUUCUCGGGAAGAAAGAUCUCAUCGCCUGAACACGGCCUUGUCGCAUUGCCAGGAUCACGGCAGAGACACCAUCAACGUGGCGUUUGAUCCCGAGCAUUCGGCGUUUGUGAGCGUUCUUGGUGCUUGCGGCCAGCUUGGGCUGUUCUAGUGGGGAUGGAGCUACUUUCGAAACAUGCCCAAUGAUCACCGCCAAGUGGAUCUCUGCACUUGAUCUGGUCAACUAGCUGCCGAGGAUCUCAUAUCCAGCGAUUUAUUCUUUCCUGGAGUUCAGAAAUCAUCCUCAAUGCUGAUGCUUCUUGGAAAAAUUAAGAUAUAAAUAUCUUUGAAAUGUCCAAGGCAUCUGUUCUUCACUCUUAUUAUCAUCACGAUUGCGCCGCCUGGCACCAGUCGCACUUUGAAAGAGAAAUUUGCCGCAGGAGUGAUUGUUUCCUUCAAGCUGGAAUGAAACCUAAGUUUGCUCAUAGAUCUAGAUGUUUGUAAUAAUGUAUGUAUGGUAUGUUUGAUCUUGGGUACUUUACAAGUUGACUACAUUUUGAUAUUUUCUUAUCUAUACUAAUAUAUCUUCUCUAAAUCUCUUUAGAAUUUUUGAGCAGCAUAAACCUUUUUAUACAGGGUUUUCUCAAAACCCAAUUUUAGGUCUAUAUAAUUUUCAUUUGGGCAAUUUACAUAGCUUUUGAGUGCGUUUAAUAAGUUUUCUCAAAAAAAAAAUUCUAUGAUAUUGUACCACUUGUGUCUAGCUUCCCACAGUUGUAUAGUUUUAUAUUGUAUAUUGCAAGUGUGAAUGUGUUAAUCAUGUCUGCCAUUUCUUAUAGGAAUUCAUCUAUAUAAAAACUUCUUAAAACUUCAUGAAACUUCCAGGGGUAUUUUUGUCUGUUUCAAUCUUUUGAGGGUAAAAUUAUUUUCACGUACCGAGGUGUGAAUAUUCAGUAUCAAGAAUAUGGACAAAAUUUAAAAUUCUAAUCUGUAUGCAAAAGUCAAUAUUAUGGCGGACUUAAACGACUCCUCAACUUUACUUAUACAGAUAAGAUAGAAAGGUUUGAUCUAUUAUCAUGUUGAUCUUGUUGUUGGUGACCCUAUUAAGUAGCAUCCCUCACUCGAGCCCUCAAAUAAUUGUUGAUCCAGGCAUAGGAGGGAGAAUACGUCGUGAAUACUUUCCAAUCAUCAUAGGCGGCCUUGCCAGCUUGGUGACGAACAUCCCAGGCGGCCCAGUCUCACCUGGUAUAUUUGCUACGGUUGUUUUAGUUGGCAGCCAGCAGUGCCUCCUCCGUGUCUCCUUUUACAGCAACACCUGUGAUGCCACACCAACACAUGACGACACGCUUAGACGCUACCAACUUAUCUUUGCAUUUCAGAACCUCCUACAUAUAAUGUUGAACAACUUGUAUGCAACAGGAGCAAACUAUAUUACAAUCAUUAAUGGAAGAUUUGGGAUGGAGUAUGUGCUUGACGAGGCAACUCAGCAAGACUCACAUCAGAGCUCUAUGCUAUACGAUCUUGGGUCAUGCUUCCCAUAUGUCAACAUGAUCCAGAGUGGGCCAAAGUCACGAGUCUACUCAAGGGUCAAUGCUGGGUCAAAGUUGGAGUCUCAAAAUGGGUGGUACUCAAUGGAGGUGCGGUAUGGGUGUGACAUGGUGGUCAAAAAGGCAAGUGGUGUCUUGUGGAAAACAGAUGUGAGAGAAAGUAGCCAAACUGGCUGCUACUUUGCAUUGCAAAUGGAUGGGAAUGGUGUGCUUGAGAAUGAGAGUGUUUGUGUUUGGGCAACAAAUACUAUGGAAGGCGGAUUGAUUUCAUCAAUAUUAGUGAUGCAGAAUGAUGGCAAUCUAGUGUUGUACAAAACUGACACACAGAAAGUAGUGUGGGCAUCUAAUACAAAUAAUAAUAAAUAAUAUAUACUAUAUAUCACUAUACUCUUUGUUAAGUAGCAUUUUCCUUGACUAGUUCUUGUUUGAAGAGUAUUCACACUUAGUUUGAAUUCUUCUUUGAUCUCUUCAAAAGGACCAGCAUUCAGUUCUUCCAUUACAUCAAUAGUUAGAGCCCUUGUCUCAACCACCUUACCUCUAGACAUGCUCAGCAUUGCUUUGAUGUUGUAGGUAAACAUAUGGCAUUAAUUUUGUCUAGGUCUACUGAAGCUUGCAAUGUCAUCAUCCCGUCCAUACACAUGUAGGGGCAUACAUCAUGAAAGCAUUGCACAUUUAGUCACGCCUUAUAAAAAUCAAUAUCAACUCUAAUUUACUUUCCUUUCCAAUAAUUUUAUUGGUAUCAUAAGAUGCUUAUUUGUCUUCUUUAGUAAAUCCAAAUUCAGGCUUAUAGAUAGAAACAACUUUGCUUGACUCCAUUUUAACAACUGGUUAAGGUAAUUAAUUUAUUGGAGUGAAUCAUUUAGCUGGUGGAGCCCAAUAUUACUUAAAAACCUUCAACAUCCAUGAAAUAAAGCCAAUGAGUAAACACUACGAUCACACCAAACAGCCUUUUCCCUGAUUGUCAUAGAAAGCAAAACUUGGAGACUGCACUGUCCUCUCGUCCCAAUCCAUCCUUCUGCAAGCCGUAUUCAAAGUAGUUGACUCCGUCAGAAAGAUCAAGGCAGAUACCCCAAGAUAACAACGAGCACACGCAAUCGACUUUGAGAACGCGGCAGCAAGAACCUCUCGGAAGUGAUCUGGUUCCGGAUCGCGGGAGUCAUGGGCGGAGAAUCUAGCAGCCGUGUUCUUGACCAAAAGCUGAACUUUGGAGUGAUCCUGCGGCGUCGUGGGAUCGUUGUCACUGUCCCUGGUCUUGGUGAGAGCUCCGAGAGGGCAUUGUCCGACAACGCGGAGCUCUUCAUCGUCUCUAUGCUCGAGCAAGCCGCAGAAGAGCACAAAGUUGGCAACCACCGCAAGUGGAGAUUGUUUCCGCUGCAGCCCUUGUAGCUCCAAUCUCCGUGUCUACUUUAAAUCACAGACAGCGUCAUCUAUGCUAGAAAAGGAACUUUGGAAAAGCUGACCAGAGUUUCUACUUGCUCGUCCUCCAGGCGCUCAUCGCAAAGACGAUACUCUCCUUCCAUCCGAGCAGCAGCCAGUGCCCAUCCACGCCCAGCUUGAAGUUGUUGUUUAGCUUGCUGCUGCUGCACCACACGUCCUUCACCACCUCGAUCGUUUCCGGUCGAACCGGCAGCAGCUCAAAUCCAGCUCUUCUAGCCCUCGAGUCCCAGCUCCUGUAAGAAUUUGCCCGCUCAAUCCUUUCAACGCCCUCCAGAGCCACCACGUCCAUGAUCACCUUUGCAAUGAUGUUCCCCAUGAAAUCAUACUCCUCCGGCAUGUCCUCUUGCAGGAGCAGCGUCUCGAACAGCUCCAUCCUCGUGAAAAGCGUAUCGAGCGCCCCCUCGAAACGUUGGAUGAAGAAAGGAGAGCUCAAGUUGGAGGUGGCAUCCAACACGCACUGUAUGAACAGGUCCGGUUUGAGGCUGUAAACUCUUUCGAAGAAGAGCUUCCGCGGAUUGUUCCCGACGCUGCCAUCUUCUCGCAAAUGCCGGAGGCGGAGGUUGCAAUUCACGAUGAGCAAGUCCUCGACGUGCGUCUUGGGCUGGACCAAUUCCCAGGACGUGCUCGUGAUCGCGUCGAAGUCGAGCGAGACUCCACAGCUC